RNAcentral lists this ribosomal RNA (506 nucleotides) under uncultured bacterium. RNAcentral's name for it is "partial 16S ribosomal RNA". It matches the Rfam family "Bacterial small subunit ribosomal RNA", at positions 28 to 507 of the family's 1533-position model. The record is from RNAcentral.
GACGAGCGCUGGCGGCGUGCUUAACACAUGCAAGUCGAACGGUGAAGGGACUGGUUUUGCUGGUCCUGGAUGAGUGGCGAACGGGUGAGUAACACGUGAGUAACCUGCCCCCUUCUUCUGGAUAACCGCAUGAAAGUGUGGCUAAUACGGGAUAUUCUGGGUCUGUCGCAUGGUGGGCCUGGGAAAGAUUGCGCCUUUUUUGUUGUUUUUGGUGGGGGAUGGGCUCGCGGCCUAUCAGCUUGUUGGUGGGGUGAUGGCCUACCAAGGCGGUGACGGGUAGCCGGCCUGAGAGGGUGGACGGUCACACUGGGACUGAGACACGGCCCAGACUCCUACGGGAGGCAGCAGUGGGGAAUAUUGCACAAUGGGCGAAAGCCUGAUGCAGCGACGCCGCGUGAGGGAUGGAGGCCUUCGGGUUGUGAACCUCUUUCGCCAGUGAAGCAGGCCUGCCUCUUUUUGUGGGUGGGUUGACGGUAGCUGGAUAAGAAGCGCCGGCUAACUACGUG